Molecule: ribosomal RNA, 253 nt
Filed under: uncultured bacterium
Lineage: Bacteria
Description: partial 16S ribosomal RNA
Rfam family: Bacterial small subunit ribosomal RNA
Source: RNAcentral
UACGUAGGCAGCGAGCGUUGUUCGGAGUUACUGGGCGUAAAGCGUGCGUAGGCGGUUUUGUAAGUUUGGUGUGAAAUCUCCCGGCUCAACUGGGAGGGUGCGCCGAAAACUGCAAGGCUGGAGUAUGGGAGAGGUAGGCGGAAUUCCUGGUGUAGCGGUGAAAUGCGUAGAUAUCAGGAGGAACACCUGUGGUGUAGACGGCUUUCUGGACCAUAGCUGACGCUGAGACACGAAAGCGUGGGUAGCAAACAGG